UUUGGCCUCCAAUCAAGCAAGGCUACCCGCUGAACUUAAGCAUAUCAAUAAGCGGAGGAAAAGAAACCAACAGGGAUUGCCUUAGUAGCGGCGAGCGAACAGGCAAGAGCUCAGAUUUGAAAGCCCUCGGGCAUUGUAUUCUGAAGCCUUGGUCCUGAGAAUCGGUGUUUAAGUCUUCUGGAAAGGAGCGCCAUGGAGGGUGAUAGCCCCGUACGACACCACUCUCAUUGUAGGACUUUGGCAUGGAGUCGAGUUGUUUGGGAAUGCAGCUCAAAUGGGUGGUAUGCUCCAUCUAAAGCUAAAUAUCUGCGAGAGACCGAUAGCGAACAAGUACUGUGAAGGAAAGAUGAAAAGAACUUUGAAAAGAGAGUGAAAAAGUACGUGAAAUUGUUGAAAUGGAAGGAUAGGCCGCUAACCAUGUAGGGUCGUGUUUGAGGGGAAGAUAAAAGCUGAAGAAUGUAGCUCCUCGGAGUGUUAUAGCUUCAGUCCAUAUUCCCUCUCGAGCGCGAGGAUUGAAGACUCUGC
Molecule: ribosomal RNA, 525 nt
Filed under: Starmerella apicola
Lineage: Eukaryota; Fungi; Ascomycota; Dipodascomycetes; Dipodascales; Trichomonascaceae
Description: LSU rRNA
Rfam family: Eukaryotic large subunit ribosomal RNA
Source: RNAcentral